RNAcentral lists this long non-coding RNA (730 nucleotides) under Chrysemys picta bellii (western painted turtle). RNAcentral's name for it is "lncRNA (ENSCPBG00000028125.1)". Lineage: Eukaryota; Metazoa; Chordata; Testudines; Emydidae. The record is from RNAcentral.
UGGCCCAAAGCAGCAAACUCUGACCCAGUGUGGGCAGAGCCCCAGCAUCCAUCAAAGGCCGGGACCCACUUACUUCCCCUGUUUCAAAAUGGUCCCAUAUUUUGUCAGUCUAUUGCAAGCCUGUAAUAUUUUGUAUUUUCUCUCCUUUUCAGGGCUUGUACAUCUUCCUGGUCUAUGCAAUCUAUAACAGUGAGGUAAGAGAAAGCUCUCCCUGGGUUUUGAUCCAUAUUCGGAACAGUCCUAUAUUAGAAAUGAAACCGGUAACCAGAAUCUUAGCAAAUGCAAAGGUUGAUAUUCUGUCCUGGCCCUUCGCUCCCAUGACAGCUGUUGCUUUUGCCCCCUUGACUUGUUCGGAGGAGGUGGUUGUUUUAUCAGAACAGCACUGGCCCUGUCUCACGACCCUGCUCAACUUUCAGGUGAGGAACGCCAUACAGAGGAUGAAGGAGAAGAAGAAAGCUCUCUCGUUCACAAACUGUUCUCAUCCGAUCAAUUAUCUGUCGAGUCCAAGAAAUACAACCUCCUGGGAGACUGGGAAGCUGAGUCCUUCUGCGCCCGAGAGCGCCAUGUCCAGCCCUGUGCAGAAAGAUCCCCCACUGAAGAACAUUACCAACAAAGGAAACUUUGGUGCUAAAAUUCCUAUGGGGAUUUCCUCAAUGAUGUCACCAGAGAGACCGGUACGUAAUGUCUUGAGUUAUUUUCCACCUUUCACAUGCAGAAUGCUAUGUAGAUG